AGAGUUUGAUCAUGGCUCAGAAUCAACGCUGGCGGCGUGCCUCAGACAUGCAAGUCGAACGAUUAAAGCUCUCUUCGGAGAGUGUAUAGAGUGGCGCACGGGUGAGUAACACGUAAGUAAUCUACCCUCGAGUGGGGAAUAACGUCCGGAAACGGACGCUAAUACCGCAUAAUGCAGCGGCACCGCAAGGUGACAGUUGUUAAAGAUUUAUCGCUUGAGGAGGAGCUUGCGGCAGAUUAGCUAGUUGGUAAGGUAAUGGCUUACCAAGGCUACGAUCUGUAACCGGUCUAAGAGGACGGUCGGUCACACUGACACUGAAUAACGGGUCAGACUCCUACGGGAGGCAGCAGUCGGGAAUUUUGGGCAAUGGGCGAAAGCCUGACCCAGCAACGCCGCGUGAAGGAUGAAGUAUUUCGGUAUGUAAACUUCGAAAGAAUGGGAAGAAUAAAUGACGGUACCAUUUAUAAGGUCCGGCUAACUACGUGCCAGCCGCCGCAU
Molecule: ribosomal RNA, 498 nt
Filed under: uncultured Acidobacteriota bacterium
Lineage: Bacteria; Pseudomonadati; Acidobacteriota
Description: bacterial SSU rRNA
Rfam family: Bacterial small subunit ribosomal RNA
Source: RNAcentral